Camelina sativa (false flax) is the source of this 192-nucleotide non-coding RNA. NCBI's taxonomy places the organism in Eukaryota, Viridiplantae, Streptophyta, Magnoliopsida, Brassicales, Brassicaceae. The record is from RefSeq and is a predicted model, not a curated record.
UGAUAAUCGAUAUGUUUUGGAACUUAUUGAAAAGAAACGUGGUGGUAUUAUUGCUCUUCUGGACGAGGCUUGCAUGUUAAAUUCAACACAUGUAAAAUUCUCUGAAAAGCUGUACGGGACAUUGAAAGGCAACAAGUACUUUAGCAAGCCAAAAUUAUCUCCAACUGACUUCACAAUUUGCCACUAUGCUGG